CAGUAGCCGCGGGAAUACGUAGGGUGCGAGCGUUAAUCGGAAUUACUGGGCGUAAAGCGUGCGCAGGCGGUUAUAUAAGACAGAUGUGAAAUCCCCGGGCUCAACCUGGGACCUGCAUUUGUGACUGUAUAGCUAGAGUACGGUAGAGGGGGAUGGAAUUCCGCGUGUAGCAGUGAAAUGCCUAGAUAUGCGGAGGAGCACCGAUGGCGAAGGCAAUCCCCUGGACCUGUACUGACGCUCAUGCACGAAAGCGUGGGGAGCAAACAGGAUUAGAUACCCGCGUAGUCCCUGUCUCUUAUAC
This 301-nucleotide ribosomal RNA is filed under the name uncultured bacterium. RNAcentral describes it as "partial 16S ribosomal RNA". It matches the Rfam family "Bacterial small subunit ribosomal RNA", at positions 509 to 807 of the family's 1533-position model. The record is from RNAcentral.